UGGGGAAUUUUGGACAAUGGGCGAAAGCCUGAUCCAGCAAUGCCGCGUGUGUGAAGAAGGCCUUCGGGUUGUAAAGCACUUUUGUCCGAAAAGAAAUCCUUGGCUCUAAUACAGUCGGGGGAUGACGGUACCGGAAGAAUAAGCACCGGCUAACUACGUGCCAGCAGCCGCGGUAAUACGUAGGGUGCAAGCGUUAAUCGGAAUUACUGGGCGUAAAGCGUGCGCAGGCGGUUUGCUAAGACCGAUGUGAAAUCCCCGGGCUCAACCUGGGAACUGCAUUGGUGACUGGCAGGCUAGAGUAUGGCAGAGGGGGGUAGAAUUCCACGUGUAGCAGUGAAAUGCGUAGAGAUGUGGAGGAAUACCGAUGGCGAAGGCAGCCCCCUGGGCCAAUACUGACGCUCAUGCACGAAAGCGUGGGGAGCAAACAGGAUUAGAUACCCUGGUAGUCCACGCCCUAAACGAUGUCAACUAGUUGUUGGGGAUUCAUUUCCUUAGUAACGUAGCUAACGCGUGAAGUUGACCGCCUGGGGAGUACGGUCGCAAGAUUAAAACUUAAAGGAAUUGAC
This 566-nucleotide ribosomal RNA is filed under the name uncultured bacterium. RNAcentral describes it as "partial 16S ribosomal RNA". It matches the Rfam family "Bacterial small subunit ribosomal RNA", at positions 355 to 914 of the family's 1533-position model. The record is from RNAcentral.